RNAcentral lists this long non-coding RNA (415 nucleotides) under Elaeis guineensis (African oil palm). RNAcentral describes it as "long non-coding RNA (EGUI_LNC033848)". The record is from RNAcentral. Lineage: Eukaryota; Viridiplantae; Streptophyta; Magnoliopsida; Arecales; Arecaceae.
GAGACUUCCUAAAGCCAUAACUAAAAUAUAACUUUCAACUCCAACAUUCAAAAAUUUUUUGCUGUUUUCAAUCUUUUUACUAACCUAAAGUUAUUACAAUAAUUUGCAUAGACUUUCGAUAUCUAAUAUCCAGAUAGUAGUAUCACAAAUAGAGAAAUCACAAAGUGUUAUCAUAUAAGUACCUUAUCUAGCAAUCCUUUGCUAAUUUCUCUUUCUUAGUCUGUUCGGAUUAAAAGACUCUGUCAGACUAGAUUAACCUUAGACUCCUUUAUCAGUUCGGGCUCCUCAACCUAAGCAUGACUCUUUUGCACUCUUUUGCACCUUCUUUUUCUUUUUUUUUCUUAAAAGAUUGUCACCCCACUGAAGACAUACCUUCAGAGGUGUGAAAGAACUCCUUCAACUUUUAAAGAAUUUU